Molecule: long non-coding RNA, 438 nt
Organism: Oxyura jamaicensis (ruddy duck)
Lineage: Eukaryota; Metazoa; Chordata; Aves; Anseriformes; Anatidae
Exons: 3
Source: RefSeq, a predicted model, not a curated record
AGAUAUAUCAGGCUGGUCUGUCAGACGGCUUCAGGCUCCCUGGGCUCUUCAUAUUUUAAAUCUUUGCGUAAAUAUCUCUGUACUUGUACCACAACAGGCUAGGUAAUGCUGGAGAUGCUGAAAGGCAAACCGUGUAAAACCUGCUUAGUGGUGACUGCCUGCCUACCUGUAGGUUGAAGAUUCCCAGCUGCAGUGGUGGCUCCAACAACAGGCACUGGCAGCUCCUGGGCAGAGAGCUCAGAAGUGGCUCUCCUUCCCCAUGGUGUAUCCACCAGCUGAGGAGCCCUGGAGUAGUUGGCAGGAACUCCUCCUGAUCAUUGCCUUUGUGACUUUUAGAAAAUGUGGCCUCUGAAUCUCAAAGGAUGAAUUUUGUUUACCGUGAAAAAUGGAUGGAAAUGCUGCUCUUAUUCAAGAUUGCUAUCAAAAAAAAAAACAAAA